Molecule: unclassified non-coding RNA, 334 nt
Filed under: soil metagenome
Description: partial contains 5.8S ribosomal RNA, internal transcribed spacer 2, and large subunit ribosomal RNA
Rfam family: 5.8S ribosomal RNA (bases 1-120)
Source: RNAcentral
GAUGAAGAACGCAGCGAAAUGCGAUAAGUAAUGUGAAUUGCAGAAUUCAGUGAAUCAUCGAAUCUUUGAACGCACAUUGCGCCCGCCAGUAUUCUGGCGGGCAUGCCUGUUCGAGCGUCAUUUCAACCAUCAAGCCCCAGGCUUGUGUUGGGGACCUGCGGCUGCCGCAGGCCCUGAAAACCAGUGGCGGGCUCGCUGUCACACCGGGCGUAGUAGAUUUUAUCUCGCUCAGGGCGUGCUGCGGGUUCCGGCCGUUAAAAAGCCUUUUUUACCCAAGGUUGACCUCGGAUCAGGUAGGAAGACCCGCUGAACUUAAGCAUAUCAUAGCGGAGGA